GCGGGCGUGGUGGAACUGGUAGACACGCGAGGUUUAGGUCCUCGUGGGCUUUGCCCUUGGGGGUUCGAGUCCCUCCGCCCGCACCA
This 86-nucleotide transfer RNA is filed under the name Kaustia mangrovi. RNAcentral's name for it is "Alphaproteobacteria bacterium R1DC25 tRNA-Leu". It matches the Rfam family "tRNA". From Rfam's summary of the family: Transfer RNA (tRNA) molecules are approximately 80 nucleotides in length. Their secondary structure includes four short double-helical elements and three loops (D, anti-codon, and T loops). The record is from RNAcentral. Lineage: Bacteria; Pseudomonadati; Pseudomonadota; Alphaproteobacteria; Hyphomicrobiales; Parvibaculaceae.